UGGAGACGUCAAACGGGCGAUGAUACUGAUGGCUUUAAGACGAUGAAAGAUUGUUUGAGGUAAUACUUAUGUGGUUGGGAGCUGAAGGAAGAUCUACACUUGAAAAAGCUCACGGGUAAUGGUACCUGUUACUUCUUAUUCUCGAUAGAUUAAUUACAAGUAUUUCAGAUGUGCUGUAAAAGAAGAAUUGUGUUGUGCUUAAGUUGGAUAAUAUGAA
Molecule: long non-coding RNA, 217 nt
Filed under: Brassica napus (rape)
Lineage: Eukaryota; Viridiplantae; Streptophyta; Magnoliopsida; Brassicales; Brassicaceae
Description: long non-coding RNA (BNAP_LNC008545)
Source: RNAcentral